This 74-nucleotide transfer RNA is filed under the name Nephromyces sp. ex Molgula occidentalis. RNAcentral's name for it is "tRNA-Glu". Lineage: Eukaryota; Apicomplexa; Aconoidasida; Nephromycida. The record is from RNAcentral.
GAGAUUCGAACUCAGAACCAAUCGGUUAAAAGCCGAUUACUCUUCCAUUGAGCUAGCAUUUCAUAUAAAUAAUA